GGAUAUUUAUUUAUAACAUAUAUAUAUUGAUUUAUGACUGAUUAAAUAGUCAUUGCUAAACUUAUAACUGUUUUUGUUAUAUUUUGUCUUGAAAUGAAUAAGAAACCAGUGUCUUAGAUUACUCAGUCCAGCUACCAAGGUUUGCAAGUUACCAUUGCAUGUUUCACGAUUACCAGUGAAAGUUUAUAAAAGGCCUGCUACCAAGGUUCUAGUGUUAAGCAAGUAAACACACACACACAUUUAAAUAUUACUUCGUAAUGCUAUACCAGAGGCGUUACAAUAU
Molecule: long non-coding RNA, 283 nt
Filed under: Mytilus galloprovincialis (Mediterranean mussel)
Lineage: Eukaryota; Metazoa; Mollusca; Bivalvia; Mytilida; Mytilidae
Source: RNAcentral